GCAGGCGGCUGGAUGAUCGCUGCCUCCCGCGGGCUCGCCCGUCGGGAGGGGGAGGAAAGUCCGGACUCCGCAGGGCAGUGUGCCGGAUAACGUCCGGGAUCUGUGCCGCAAGGCACAGAGACGGCCAGUGCAACAGAAAACAAACCGCCUUCGCAGGAUGGCCGGCGCAAGCCAGCCAUGCACGCCCGCAAAGGUAAGGGUGAAAUGGUGCGGUAAGAGCGCACCGGGCCCCCAGUAAUGGAGGUCGCAUGGUAAACCCCACACGGAGCAAGACCAAAUAGGCAGGGAUCGAGUCCGCCCUCUCCAGCGGACGCGAGCGUAUCGGCCCGAUGCGCCCAGGCGGAGAGACCACGCGAGAGCGCAAGCUCAAAGCGAGGAGCCGAAACCUGCGGGUAGGUUGCUGGAGCGUCGCGGCGACGCGGCGCCUAGAGGAAUGAUCGUCUAAAACAGAAUCCGGCUUACGGGCCGCCUGCAUUU
Molecule: RNase P RNA, 477 nt
Filed under: Acidobacteriota bacterium
Lineage: Bacteria; Pseudomonadati; Acidobacteriota
Description: RNase P RNA component class A
Rfam family: Bacterial RNase P class A
About the family: Ribonuclease P (RNase P) is a ubiquitous endoribonuclease, found in archaea, bacteria and eukarya as well as chloroplasts and mitochondria. Its best characterised activity is the generation of mature 5'-ends of tRNAs by cleaving the 5'-leader elements of precursor-tRNAs.
Source: RNAcentral